This 253-nucleotide ribosomal RNA is filed under the name uncultured bacterium. RNAcentral describes it as "partial 16S ribosomal RNA". It matches the Rfam family "Bacterial small subunit ribosomal RNA", at positions 524 to 776 of the family's 1533-position model. The record is from RNAcentral.
UACGUAGGGGGCAAGCGUUGUCCGGAAUUAUUGGGCGUAAAGAGCGUGUAGGCGGUCCGGUAAGUCAGCUGUGAAAGUCAAGGGCUCAACCCUUGAAUGCCGGUUGAUACUGUCGGGCUAGAGUCCGGAAGAGGCGAGUGGAAUUCCCGGUGUAGCGGUGAAAUGCGCAGAUAUCGGGGGGAAGGCCGGCGGCGAAGGCGCCAUUCUGGGAAAUUCCUGACACUGAGGCACGAAAGCGUGGGGAGCAAACAGG